GACGAACGCUGGCGGCGUGCUUAAUACAUGCAAGUCGAACGGAAAGGCCCUGCGUUUGUGUGGUGCUCGAUUGCCGAACGGGUGAGUAACACGUGAGUAACCUGCACUUGACUUUGGGAUAACUUCAGGAAACAGGGGCUAAUACCGGAUAGGAUCUCUUGCUGCGUGGUGGGGGUUGGUAAGUGACGGCGGUUGGGGAUGGACUCGAUGGUUAUCAGCUUGUUAGUGUGGUAGUGAUUUACGAAGGCUUUGACGGGUAGGCGGCCUGGGAGGGUGAACGGCCACAUUGGGACUGAGAUACGCAGCAGACUCCUACGGGAGGCAGCAGUGGGGAAUAUUGCGCAAUGGGCGGAAGCCUGAUGCAGCAGCGCCGCGUGCGGGAUGACGGCCUUCGGGGUGUAAACCGAUUUCGCCGGUGAUGAGGCGUGAGUGACGGUAAUGGGUAAAGAAGCACCGGCUAACUACGUG
Molecule: ribosomal RNA, 468 nt
Filed under: uncultured bacterium
Lineage: Bacteria
Description: partial 16S ribosomal RNA
Rfam family: Bacterial small subunit ribosomal RNA
Source: RNAcentral